GACGUGCUAAUCUGCGAUAAGCGUCGGUAAGGUGAUAUGAACCGUUAUAACCGGCGAUUUCCGAAUGGGGAAACCCAGUGUGAUUCGUCACACUAUCAUUAACUGAAUCCAUAGGUUAAUGAGGCGAACCGGGGGAACUGAAACAUCUAAGUACCCCGAGGAAAAGAAAUCAACCGAGAUUCCCCCAGUAGCGGCGAGCGAACGGGGAGCAGCCCAGAGCCUGAAUCAGUGUGUGUGUUAGUGGAAGCGUCUGGAAAGGCGUGCGAUACAGGGUGACAGCCCCGUACACAAAAAUGCACAUACUGUGAGCUCGAUGAGUAGGGCGGGACACGUGGUAUCCUGUCUGAAUAUGGGGGGACCAUCCUCCAAGGCUAAAUACUCCUGACUGACCGAUAGUGAACCAGUACCGUGAGGGAAAGGCGAAAAGAACCCCGGCGAGGGGAGUGAAAAAGAACCUGAAACCGUGUACGUACAAGCAGUGGGAGC
This 486-nucleotide ribosomal RNA is filed under the name Escherichia coli. RNAcentral describes it as "partial 23S ribosomal RNA". It matches the Rfam family "Bacterial large subunit ribosomal RNA", at positions 55 to 580 of the family's 2925-position model. The record is from RNAcentral. RNAcentral also lists the same sequence under 1 other name. Lineage: Bacteria; Pseudomonadati; Pseudomonadota; Gammaproteobacteria; Enterobacterales; Enterobacteriaceae.